This 598-nucleotide ribosomal RNA is filed under the name Fusarium sp. 2 2 TMS-2011. RNAcentral's name for it is "eukaryotic LSU rRNA". The stretch from base 218 to 371 matches the Rfam family "5.8S ribosomal RNA". The record is from RNAcentral. Lineage: Eukaryota; Fungi; Ascomycota; Sordariomycetes; Hypocreales; Nectriaceae.
UCUUGGUCAUUUAGAGGAAGUAAAAGUCGUAACAAGGUCUCCGUUGGUGAACCAGCGGAGGGAUCAUUACCGAGUUUACAACUCCCAAACCCCUGUGAACAUACCAAUUGUUGCCUCGGCGGAUCAGCCCGCUCCCGGUAAAACGGGACGGCCCGCCAGAGGACCCCUAAACUCUGUUUCUAUAUGUAACUUCUGAGUAAAACCAUAAAUAAAUCAAAACUUUCAACAACGGAUCUCUUGGUUCUGGCAUCGAUGAAGAACGCAGCAAAAUGCGAUAAGUAAUGUGAAUUGCAGAAUUCAGUGAAUCAUCGAAUCUUUGAACGCACAUUGCGCCCGCCAGUAUUCUGGCGGGCAUGCCUGUUCGAGCGUCAUUUCAACCCUCAAGCCCCCGGGUUUGGUGUUGGGGAUCGGCGAGCCCUUGCGGCAAGCCGGCCCCGAAAUCUAGUGGCGGUCUCGCUGCAGCUUCCAUUGCGUAGUAGUAAAACCCUCGCAACUGGUACGCGGCGCGGCCAAGCCGUUAAACCCCCAACUUCUGAAUGUUGACCUCGGAUCAGGUAGGAAUACCCGCUGAACUUAAGCAUAUCAAUAAGCGGAGGAA